GAUGAACGCUGGCGGCGUGCCUAAUACAUGCAAGUCGAGCGAACGGACGAGAAGCUUGCUUCUCUGAUGUUAGCGGCGGACGGGUGAGUAACACGUGGAUAACCUACCUAUAAGACUGGGAUAACUUCGGGAAACCGGAGCUAAUACCGGAUAAUAUUUUGAACCGCAUGGUUCAAAAGUGAAAGACGGUCUUGCUGUCACUUAUAGAUGGAUCCGCGCUGCAUUAGCUAGUUGGUAAGGUAACGGCUUACCAAGGCAACGAUGCAUAGCCGACCUGAGAGGGUGAUCGGCCACACUGGAACUGAGACACGGUCCAGACUCCUACGGGAGGCAGCAGUAGGGAAUCUUCCGCAAUGGGCGAAAGCCUGACGGAGCAACGCCGCGUGAGUGAUGAAGGUCUUCGGAUCGUAAAACUCUGUUAUUAGGGAAGAACAUAUGUGUAAGUAACUGUGCACAUCUUGACGGUACCUAAUCAGAAAGCCACGGCUAACUACGUGCCAGCAGCCGCGGUAAUACGUAGGUGGCAAGCGUUAUCCGGAAUUAUUGGGCGUAAAGCGCGCGUAGGCGGUUUUUUAAGUCUGAUGUGAAAGCCCACGGCUCAACCGUGGAGGGUCAUUGGAAACUGGAAAACUUGAGUGCAGAAGAGGAAAGUGGAAUUCCAUGUGUAGCGGUGAAAUGCGCAGAGAUAUGGAGGAACACCAGUGGCGAAGGCGACUUUCUGGUCUGUAACUGACGCUGAUGUGCGAAAGCGUGGGGAUCAAACAGGAUUAGAUACCCUGGUAGUCCACGCCGUAAACGAUGAGUGCUAAGUGUUAGGGGGUUUCCGCCCCUUAGUGCUGCAGCUAACGCAUUAAGCACUCCGCCUGGGGAGUACGACCGCAAGGUUGAAACUCAAAGGAAUUGACGGGGACCCGCACAAGCGGUGGAGCAUGUGGUUUAAUUCGAAGCAACGCGAAGAACCUUACCAAAUCUUGACAUCCUUUGACAACUCUAGAGAUAGAGCUUUCCCCUUCGGGGGACAAAGUGACAGGUGGUGCAUGGUUGUCGUCAGCUCGUGUCGUGAGAUGUUGGGUUAAGUCCCGCAACGAGCGCAACCCUUAAGCUUAGUUGCCAUCAUUAAGUUGGGCACUCUAAGUUGACUGCCGGUGACAAACCGAAGGAAGGUGGGGAUGACGUCAAAUCAUCAUGCCCCUUAUGAUUUGGGCUACACACGUGCUACAAUGGACAAUACAAAGGGCAGCGAAACCGUGAGGUCAAGCAAAUCCCAUAAAGUUGUUCUCAGUUCGGAUUGUAGUCUGCAACUCGACUACAUGAAGCUGGAAUCGCUAGUAAUCGUAGAUCAGCAUGCUACGGUGAAUACGUUCCCGGGUCU
RNAcentral lists this ribosomal RNA (1372 nucleotides) under uncultured bacterium. Its description in RNAcentral is "bacterial SSU rRNA". It matches the Rfam family "Bacterial small subunit ribosomal RNA", at positions 28 to 1381 of the family's 1533-position model. The record is from RNAcentral.